This 253-nucleotide ribosomal RNA is filed under the name uncultured bacterium. RNAcentral's name for it is "partial 16S ribosomal RNA". It matches the Rfam family "Bacterial small subunit ribosomal RNA", at positions 524 to 776 of the family's 1533-position model. The record is from RNAcentral.
UACAGAGGUCCCAAGCGUUGUUCGGAUUCACUGGGCGUAAAGGGUGCGUAGGCGGUCGGGUAAGUCUGAUGUGAAAUCUCGGGGCCUAACCCCGAAACUGCAUUGGAUACUAUUCGGCUAGAGGAAUGGAGGGGAGACUGGAAUGCUCGGUGUAGCAGUGAAAUGCGUAGAUAUCGAGCGGAACACCAGUGGCGAAGGCGAGUCUCUGGACAUUUCCUGACGCUGAGGCACGAAAGCCAGGGGAGCAAACGGG